AAUAAAAUGGCCGAAAUAGCAUUAGUCUGUAAAACUAAUUAUGAGGUUUUCCUCUUUUAUUA
RNAcentral lists this transfer RNA (62 nucleotides) under Phyllodiaptomus tunguidus. Its description in RNAcentral is "tRNA-Met". It matches the Rfam family "tRNA". From Rfam's summary of the family: Transfer RNA (tRNA) molecules are approximately 80 nucleotides in length. Their secondary structure includes four short double-helical elements and three loops (D, anti-codon, and T loops). The record is from RNAcentral. Lineage: Eukaryota; Metazoa; Arthropoda; Copepoda; Calanoida; Diaptomidae.